GUAGUACUAGGAUGGGUGACCUC
RNAcentral lists this non-coding RNA (23 nucleotides) under Arabidopsis thaliana (thale cress). Lineage: Eukaryota; Viridiplantae; Streptophyta; Magnoliopsida; Brassicales; Brassicaceae. The record is from RNAcentral.